RNAcentral lists this transfer RNA (62 nucleotides) under Arcoscalpellum epeeum. RNAcentral's name for it is "tRNA-Cys". The record is from RNAcentral. Lineage: Eukaryota; Metazoa; Arthropoda; Thecostraca; Scalpellidae.
AAUAGUAUAGUUUAGUAAAAUUCCAUCUUGCAAAGAUAGCGUCGCUUGUAAUGCUACUAUUU